This is a non-coding RNA of Coturnix japonica (Japanese quail), 1168 nucleotides long. NCBI's taxonomy places the organism in Eukaryota, Metazoa, Chordata, Aves, Galliformes, Phasianidae. The record is from RefSeq and is a predicted model, not a curated record.
UUCUUGUUGUUUUGCAUUCUUUUUCUCUCUUCUUUCUGCCUUUACCACUUUUUUUCCCUCUUUUUCCAAACGGAGUGACCGUUGGAUUUAUCCUGUGUGCUGAAUCUGAGGGGGUGAAUGCCUUCAACGAGGACAAAACCCACCUCAAAUCCUACUGCACAACACUGGAGCCAGGAAAGAGAGAAAGUCCUUUACAAGGCUGAGUUGCUGCAGCCGUAGAUCAACCAAAGCUGCCCCCUAAAACUGUGAAUGUGCUCCAGCAAAUCCAGACACACUAUGAGAACACCGCAGUGUGUUGAUAACACACGCCUUGAGAACCGUCAAGAGGGAGUGAAAAGAAGGAGAAAAAAAAGAUCUGCUUUUGAUGGACUUAAUCUAAGCCUUGCUGAAAGAUGUGAUCGAAUCCCAGUGCUGAGCGUGCCUGCAUCCGUCACCAUCUUCUCGCGUUUCAAAUCUUUGGUUUUGGGAUGGGCUCUGCCGAGCUGUCUGCCUUCAGCACACUGCCCCAAGCUGCUCUAAGACCUCAUUGUGCUCAAGGCUGUAGAAAUUUGGGAUAAAAACAACAGCUCUUGCCUCGAAAGUGAUUUUUGCAGAGGCUGAGUAAUGCUUGCAGCUCCAUCAGCUCUCCACCAAAAGCCCGUGGAUGGAUGGGGAGAAAUGGGAGGAAGCGCUCAGUUGAUAUUAGCAUGAUGGGAACAACAACAGUCUGGGCUGCUGUCAUGUUUUGUAUUAUCUAUAAGGCACCACAGUGGUAGAGAGCUUUAUGGAGGGGGCUGGAGAGAUUUUGCAGAUGUUUGAGGGGACUCUUCAGAGAGGGAGGAGGAGCCCGGUGGGAAUGGGGAGGUUCCUGAAAGGGAGCAAGACAGGGAUGGAGGUGGACUUGUGGUGGGUCCGGGGGUCACUCCAAGUUUACCUAGUCCUUCCCUGCCUAUACUGCAGUUUCACUUUCAUGGGAUUUAACCACUUUCAUUUAAAUUUCUCUCUCUACCCACAAAGAACACAAAUGGGAUUCACCAGGAAUGGAAGACCUGAAAGCUGCAGAUGAACUGCAGUCAAACCAAAGGCAGCUCCUGGCUGAACAAAAGGCGAUUCGAGUUGUGGGAGUCUGGAUGUUUUGAAUGGCAAAAUACGGGUUUAGUGGAAGGAAAUUACAGAUGAUUUAUUUCUA